This 253-nucleotide ribosomal RNA is filed under the name uncultured bacterium. RNAcentral describes it as "partial 16S ribosomal RNA". It matches the Rfam family "Bacterial small subunit ribosomal RNA", at positions 524 to 776 of the family's 1533-position model. The record is from RNAcentral.
UACGGAGGGUGCGAGCGUUGUCCGGAAUCACUGGGCGUAAAGGGCGCGUAGGUGGCACGUUAAGUGGCUGGUGAAAUCCCGCGGCUCAACUGCGGGGCUGCCGGUCAGACUGGCGAGCUAGAGCACGGUAGGGGCAGAUGGAAUUCCCGGUGUAGCGGUGGAAUGCGUAGAGAUCGGGAAGAAUACCAGUGGCGAAGGCGUUCUGCUGGGCCGUUGCUGACACUGAGGCGCGACAGCGUGGGGAGCAAACAGG